Molecule: long non-coding RNA, 900 nt
Filed under: Marmota monax (woodchuck)
Lineage: Eukaryota; Metazoa; Chordata; Mammalia; Rodentia; Sciuridae
Rfam family: tRNA (bases 336-408)
Source: RNAcentral
GGUUCUCACUAAGUUGCUGAGGGUUUCCCUAAGUUGCCAGCCUCAAAUUUGUGAUCCUCCAGUCUCAGCCUCCUGAGGUCCUAGGAUUACAAGUGUGCACUGCCACACCUGAUUGAAGAUUUCUUUUAUUUGACACCCAAAGCAUGAUUCAUAAAAGAAUAAAUUGAAAAACUGGACUUUUCUUCAAAAGAUACUGUUAAGAGAAUGAUGAAAAGAGAAGCCACAGAUGGGGCAGGAGUGGAAUAUUUGCAAAUCAUAUCCAGAAUAUAUGAAGAACUUUCAAAAGCUAAUUAAGAAAACAUGUAGCCCAAUCAAAAACAAGUGAAAAUAGGGCUGGGGAUAUAGCUCAGAUGGUAAAGUGCUUGCCUCUCAGGCACAAGGCCCUGGGUUCAAACCCCAGCAUCACAAAAAAAGGGAGAUAUUUGAACAAUUUAGACAUCUCCUCUAAGGGACUGUAUAGAUGAUGAAUAAGCUCAUGGAAGACAAGCAUCAUCAGUCGGUUAGAAAACCCAGGUCAUCACGGUGAGAGCCCCUGCACCUGUGAGGAUGGUGGCGUUUCAAAGCUGACUACCCCAGUGGUGGCAGGAGUGUGGGGAGGCUGGAGCCCUCAGGCCGUGAGAAUGGGAGCUGUAGGAGUGCUUUGGAAGGCCCUUGGAAGUCCUGAGAGGAGUGAAACUUGGGCUGCGGGGUGGCCUGGAACCCCACCCCAGCCUUGCCCUCCAUCCAGAGGAACACUGGUGUGCCGUGCUCAGGGCAGCUGGGUUCUAGUAGCCCACACAGUGGGGUCAAGUGACUCGGAAAGUAAUAAGCAUGCGGCCACAGCAUGGAGAGACCUAGAACAGCCGCACCAAGAUGGGCCAGAGGGUGAAGCCCUGUGGUCCCCUCACACUGGAUGGGGCA